GACGAACCGAGCGAACGUUGUUCGGAAUCACUGGGCUUAAAGGGCGCGUAGGCGGGCUGUCAAGUCUGGGGUGAAAUCCCGCGGCUCAACCGCGGAACUGCCUCAGAUACUGACGGUCUCGAGGGAGGUAGGGGCGAGCGGAACUGAUGGUGGAGCGGUGAAAUGCGUUGAUAUCAUCAGGAACUCCGGUGGCGAAGGCGGCUCGCUGGACCUCUUCUGACGCUGAGGCGCGAAAGCCAGGGGAGCAAACAGG
Molecule: ribosomal RNA, 253 nt
Filed under: uncultured bacterium
Lineage: Bacteria
Description: partial 16S ribosomal RNA
Rfam family: Bacterial small subunit ribosomal RNA
Source: RNAcentral